UGUAAAAUCAUGUUUUUAACUCUCUGAAAAAAGGUCAUCUUCUUGGUGUUACCAGAUCCUGUUAUAGGGAUAUAGGAUAUAGGUGAA
Long non-coding RNA from Salarias fasciatus (jewelled blenny), 87 nucleotides. RefSeq lists it as uncharacterized. NCBI's taxonomy places the organism in Eukaryota, Metazoa, Chordata, Actinopteri, Blenniiformes, Blenniidae. The transcript has 3 exons. The record is from RefSeq and is a predicted model, not a curated record.